UAAGAGUUACCCACUUCUUUUCCACAUGGA
RNAcentral lists this non-coding RNA (30 nucleotides) under Mus musculus (house mouse). The record is from RNAcentral. Lineage: Eukaryota; Metazoa; Chordata; Mammalia; Rodentia; Muridae.